CAGGGGGACAGAUGGGGGUAGUGACAGUGACAGUUGCGUCUCGUCGCUACGGUUCUCUCUCUCUGUGUUCCUGAGAAAGUGUGUGUGAGCUCCAGCACUACUGAUCCAUCAUCUGUGUGUCAGGGUAAACCUCCGAAUGGACUCUGUGCUCUUUUUUCUGCAGCGUUUACUUCGGACUAUAGGAGCUAGCUUAGCAUGCUAGCUGGAAACACGUUCGCAACACUAGUCAGAUUGAGAGUUUGAUGGAGAGAAACAGUGUGUGUAACGGAGUUUGAAAAAACUAUAGCAGAGCACGAGGAGGAGCGGUCUCGUUCAAAAGAGGAGAACGAGAGACUCCAGAAACCACUGGACGCUGUUUUACAGCCUCAGCUUCGGAUACACAGAGCAGCAGCAACAGGAGGAACUCAGGAUCAGUCAGGAGGGAAAGCAGCUUCAAGAGCUGGAGGAGGCUGAUAUCACCAAGUCCACUUUCAGUCUUGACCCUGUGAAGAUAAUAAAGAGAAACCUCAGUCCUCACAGCCUCAUCAAAGACAAACUGAACACAUGGAAACAGAAGCUGAUGGAGAUGACUGUCGAGGACCAGAACCAGCCAGGAACUCAGAUCCAGAGAGCAGUUUACAACCAAAGACUGAGGACGACCCUGAAGACUCUUCUGAACCUGACACUGAACACAGUGCUGAUUGGAAGGAGACCAGAGAACCUGCGUCAGGCUCAAACUCACUGGAAAAUAGACAAGAAUCUGUCAGUGAUUCAAGCCGUAGUGCUGUAAAGAAACAAUUUGGCUGCUCUGUGUGUAUGAAAUAUUUUACAAAUACAAGAGAAGUUCAGCGACACAUGAAAAUCCACACAGAUGAGAAACCAUUUAGCUGCUCAGUUUGUACCAAAUCUUUUGCAUUGAGUGAAAGUUUAAAAAAACACAUGAAAAUCCACACAGGAGAGAAACCCUUUAGCUGCUCAGUUUGUACCAAAUCUUUUGUAUUGAGUGAACGUUUAAAAAAACACAUGAAAAUCCACACCGGAGAGAAACCAUUCAGCUGCUCAGUCUGUAAGAAAUCUUUUGCAGAGAAAAGAGAUGUAAAUCGACACAUGAGAGUCCACACAGGAGAGAAACCACACAGCUGCUCAGUCUGCAGGAAAGCUUUUUCACAGAGAGGAAGUUUAAAGACACACAUGAGAGUCCACACAGGAGUGAAACCACACAGCUGCUCAGUCUGUAAGAAAGCUUUUUCACAGAGUAGAAGUUUAAAAAAACACAUGAGAGUCCACACAGAACAAAAAAUGUAAAUGGCGUAGUGAUUUCAGAAGACACAAGUGUGUUGGUCGUCAGUCCUCAAAGCUUAAUGAAAUUCAAACUGAGGAUAACAGAGAGGCAGAGCCUCCAAUCAGCAGCUCAGCUGGAAACACAUGGAAACAGAAGCUGAUGGAGAGGACAAUAAAUAAGUCUUAUAACAGUUCACACGUGAGAAAAAUCUGCCUGACCGGAUUAACAUUGUUGUACAAUAUUCAUAUAAGACUCAAAUGAACUCCAUCUUUAUCAAUAUAAGUGGAUGUCCAAUAUGUUUAUGCUUUGCUUGAUUAAAUCUACUGAAAUGAGCA
Molecule: long non-coding RNA, 1596 nt
Organism: Gymnodraco acuticeps
Lineage: Eukaryota; Metazoa; Chordata; Actinopteri; Perciformes; Bathydraconidae
Exons: 2
Source: RefSeq, a predicted model, not a curated record